This 404-nucleotide ribosomal RNA is filed under the name uncultured bacterium. Its description in RNAcentral is "partial 16S ribosomal RNA". It matches the Rfam family "Bacterial small subunit ribosomal RNA", at positions 30 to 526 of the family's 1533-position model. The record is from RNAcentral.
AUUGAACGCUGGCGGCAGGCCUAACACAUGCAAGUCGAGCGAGCGGCGGACGGGUGAGUAAUGCCUGGGAAUUGCACAGUCGAGGGGGAUAACAGUUGGAAACGACUGCUAAUAACGCAUACGAUUGAAUUGACAAGGUGGGAUUAGCUAGUUGGUGAGGUAAUGGCUCACCAAGGCGACGAUCCCGAGCUGGUCUGAGAGGAUGGUCAGUCACACUGGAACUGAGACAAGGUCCAGACUCCGACGCGAGGCAGCAGUGGGGAAUAUUGCACAAUGGGGGAAACCCUGAUGCAUCCAUGCCGCGUGUGUGAAGAAGGCCUUCGGGUUGUAAAGCACUUUCAGCGAGGAGGCGUUACUCGCAGAAGAAGCACCGGCUAAAUCCGUGCCAGCAGCCGCGGUAAUAC